RNAcentral lists this ribosomal RNA (460 nucleotides) under uncultured bacterium. RNAcentral describes it as "partial 16S ribosomal RNA". It matches the Rfam family "Bacterial small subunit ribosomal RNA", at positions 338 to 795 of the family's 1533-position model. The record is from RNAcentral.
CCUACGGGCGGCAGCAGUGAGGAAUAUUGGUCAAUGGACGAGAGUCUGAACCAGCCAAGUAGCGUGAAGGAUGACUGCCCUAUGGGUUGUAAACUUCUUUUAUAUGGGAAUAAAAUGUUCCACGUGUGGGAUUUUGUAUGUACCAUAUGAAUAAGGAUCGGCUAACUCCGUGCCAGCAGCCGCGGUAAUACGGAGGAUCCGAGCGUUAUCCGGAUUUAUUGGGUUUAAAGGGAGCGUAGGUGGAUUGUUAAGUCAGUUGUGAAAGUUUGCGGCUCAACCGUAAAAUUGCAGUUGAAACUGGCAGUCUUGAGUACAGUAGAGGUGGGCGGAAUUCGUGGUGUAGCGGUGAAAUGCUUAGAUAUCACGAAGAACCCCGAUUGCGAAGGCAGUUCACUGGACUGCAACUGACACUGAGGCUCGAAAGUGUGGGUAUCAAACAGGAUUAGAUACCCGAGUAGUC